GUCUGGCCCCAGACCACUCCCUUGCACGUGAUCUGACAUGUGCCAGGGAGAGGGUCUGGCAUUUAGAGUCACUUUUCUUGGUUCAGAUGUCAAAAUUUGACAUCUCCAAUCAGAUUAGCAAGAAUGCAAUUAAACUGUCACAUGAUUCCACUUCACAGAGGAGGUUGAUAGUACUUGACCUUUGUCAUUUUUAAAACUAUGCCAGUAGGCAAUGGCUAACUUAAAUUCCUGUAUACAUCAACUAAAAAUGUUAUUUCAAGUACAGAGAAUCUUUCAAAUCUCACUAAAUCUGUAUAGGAGUAGAGAUAAUAGCCAGCCAGUUUUAGCAUCGUCACCACGCCCAUUUCCGACACGCCCACUUUUGACUGUCUGAAAACCAAGAAAAGUGACUCCAGACUCUCUCCCCGGGAGGAGUCUGGCCUCGAGACUAGCCCAACCCUACGCAGUUGGUUGGACUCCGCCCAACUAGGGCAGGGUCAUAUAGCCUCGAAUCAUGCUCGAAUCCAGGCCGAUUAAAUACGUAUUUUAAUCGGCCUGGUCUCGAGGCUAGGUCACAGACCACUCCUCUGAGGCCAGACUCCUCCCCUCCAUCAGAUCAUGUGUGCCAGAGAAGAAGCCAUGCAGAGGAAGCCACGUGUGCUCAUGGACUCUGGACUCGAGAGUAUAUACAAGUAUGUCUUCCAAACCUGUUACAGGCAAGCAGUCAGGUACACAACCUAAGGGAAAAUGGAGAAAGUUUGUGGACUUAACAAAGUUUCUAUACAGCAAUGACUUCACCAGGGGUAUUGGUCGCGAUAUUUUGAUGUUCAGCACAUCUGUUGUGGUGAUCCGUGUAGUGAUGAGUGCUCUAGUAGAGGAAAUCCCCCCUGCAGCUGCUCCAAGUGUGAUGGGAAGAUAAAAUACAGGAGCGCUCACUAACAUACUAAUAUCAUUAUUGUGAUUUGAUAAUUAUGUACCUAACAUAAUAAUUAUAGCUGUACACAUGCAUAAUUAUAUCUUUCUAAUCGCUUCUGGGUUCAUUAAUCAAAUCAUUAGCACUCUGAAUCAUAAAAGUGUCCUGGCAAUAUCUAAAAGGGUAUCUGCUGCAAUUGAGUUCUGUUCAUAUACAUUGGUUCCUGUUUCACAGCACAUCACCAGAACCUGUUAAAAAAUGUUUUAUUGAUGUUA
This is a long non-coding RNA of Halichondria panicea, 1167 nucleotides long. RefSeq lists it as uncharacterized. Lineage: Eukaryota; Metazoa; Porifera; Demospongiae; Suberitida; Halichondriidae. The record is from RefSeq and is a predicted model, not a curated record. The transcript is spliced from 2 exons.